This is a non-coding RNA of Ailuropoda melanoleuca (giant panda), 53 nucleotides long. The record is from Rfam. Lineage: Eukaryota; Metazoa; Chordata; Mammalia; Carnivora; Ursidae.
UUUUUAGAUAUAAGUAUAUCCCAUGUAACAUUUGGGGUAUACUUAUACUAAAA